AACCCUUCCUAAAGCUCAGGACAGGGGGGAAUUUAACUCCCACAGCUAACCCCCAAAGCUAGCAUUCUAUUUAAAUUAUAUCCUGUUUAAAUAGCUUAAAUUAAGGCGCAGCACUGAAAAUGCUGAGAUGAGCCCUAAAAAGCUCUUUAGACACAAAGGUUUGGUCCUAACCUUAAAGUCAAUUAUUACUUAAUAUACACAUGCAAGCAUCCACUUCCCGGUGAAAACGCCCUUUAACCCCUCUUAGGGAUCAGGAGCCGGUAUCAGGCACGAUAAUCUGCCCAAAACACCUAGCUUUGCCACACCCACAAGGGAAUUCAGCAGUGAUUAACAUUGAGCAUAAGCGCAAGCUUGACUCAGUUGAAGUAAAAUAGAGCCGGCCAAUCUGGUGCCAGCCGCCGCGGUUACACCACGUGACUCAAAUUGACCUUACUCCGGCGUAAAGCGUGAUUAAAGUUUUCCCUAACUAGAGCUAAACCCUUACCGAGCUGUGACACGCCUGUUUAUUAAGAAACUCAAAAACGAAAGUUACUCUAAUACCACCAACUUGAAUUCACGACAGCUGGGAAACAAACUGGGAUUAGAUACCCCACUAUGCCCAGCCAUAAACCUUUAAUUACAUCUCCACCAUAUCGCCAGGGAACUACGAGCCAAGCUUAAAACCCAAAGGACUUGACGGUACCCCAUAUCCCCCUAGAGGAGCCUGUCCUAUAACCGAUAAUCCACGUUAAACCUCACCAUUUUCUAGAUAUCAGCCUGUAUACCUCCGUCGUCAGCUUACCACGUGAGCGCCAAUUAGUGAGCCCAAUGCUUCUUCACCAACACGUCAGGUCAAGGUGCAGCAAAUGAAAUGGGAAGAGAUGGGCUACACUUUCUACAUUAGAAAAAAACGAAAAACUUUAUGAAACCUAGUUAGAAGGCGGAUUUAGCAGUAAAAAGGAAUCAGAAUAUCCAUUUUAACCUGGCACUGGGGUGUGUACACACCGCCCGUCACCCUCUUCAAAAUCAUAACAAAGUUUUUAACAAACCAAGAUAUAAUAGAAGAGGCAAGUCGUAACAUGGUAAGUAUACCGGAAGGUGUGCUUGGAAACGUAACGUAGCUUAACUAAAGCAUCCCGCUUACACCGAGAAAAUGUCUGUGAAAACCAGACCGCUCCGAGCCACAAACCUAGCCCAACAAAUACUUAUGCCUCAGGUAUAACUAAAUAAUCUAAAUAAACCAUUUUAAUGCUUUAGUAAAGGAGAUUGAAACACCUAUUGGAGCUAUAAAAAGAGUACCGCAAGGGAAUACUGAAAUAGUAAAUGAAAAAUUCAAGCAAUAAAAAGUAAAGACUACCUCUUGUACCUUUCGCAUCAUGGUUUAACUAGUCCAAUCAAGCAAAACGUGUUUAAGUUUGACACCCCGAAACUAAGUGAGCUACUUCAAGGCAGCUGAAAGAGCAAACCCGUCUCUGUAGCAAAAGAGUGGGACGACCAUCAAGUAGCGGUGAUAGACCUAACGAACUUAGUGAUAGCUGGUUACUCAAAGAAACGGAUUUUAGUCCAACCUGAAUCUUUAAUUUAAAAUAGUAUGCUAAAACAGCUUUACCGUAUUCAGCGUAAUUCAAAUAAGGUACAGCCUAUUUGAAACAGGACACAACCUAGACCAGUGGAUAAAGUCAGCCCUAUGAACAAUCAAGUCGGCCUAAAAGCAGCCACCUUUAAAAUUGCGUCAAAGCUUAGUUGUUCAAACGCCUAAUUACAAAACCUCUACCUUAAUCCCCCAUUAGUACUGAGUAGCUCUAUACUUCUAUAGAAACUUUUAUGUUAAAACUAGUAACAAGAAGAAGACCCUUCUCUUAAAUGUUAGUGUAAAUCAGAAAGGACAAACCACUGAUACUUAACACCCUUGAACCUGAAGUAACAACUAAUCAAGAAAACUUUACUCUAAUUAACGUUAACCUAACACAAGAGCAUUUUAAGAAAGAUUUAAAAAAUAAGAAGGAACUCGGCAAAUAUUAACCCCGCCUGUUUACCAAAAACAUCGCCUCUUGAGUAUAAUAAGAGGUCCAGCCUGCCCAGUGACUUAUUCAACGGCCGCGGUAUCCUAACCGUGCGAAGGUAGCGUAAUCACUUGUUCUUUAAAUGAGGACUAGUAUGAACGGCACCACGAAGGUUAUACUGUCUCCUUUUUUUAAUCAGUGAAACUAAUCUCCCCGUGAAGAAGCGGGAAUAAAUAUAUAAGACGAGAAGACCCUAUGGAGCUUUAAACAAUAUAGCACUUACCUCACACCAUAAAAAUUUCCGAACAUAAAUUUGUUAGAUAAUAUGACUAUAAGUUUUCGGUUGGGGUGACCACGGAGCAUAACACAACCUCCACGUUGAAAGAAUAUUUUCUUAACUAAGACGUACCCAUCUAAGUAUCAAUAUUUUGACAUUAAUUGACCCAAUACUUUUGAACAACGAACCAAGUUACCCUAGGGAUAACAGCGCAAUCCACUUUAAGAGCCCCUAUCGACAAGUGGGUUUACGACCUCGAUGUUGGAUCAGGGUCUCCAAGUGGUGCAGCCGCUACUAAAGGUUCGUUUGUUCAACGAUUAAAACCCU
RNAcentral lists this unclassified non-coding RNA (2586 nucleotides) under Ansonia sp. MM2017-2. RNAcentral's name for it is "partial contains 12S ribosormal RNA, tRNA-Val and 16S ribosormal RNA". The stretch from base 149 to 1099 matches the Rfam family "Bacterial small subunit ribosomal RNA". The record is from RNAcentral. Lineage: Eukaryota; Metazoa; Chordata; Amphibia; Anura; Bufonidae.